UACGUAGGGUGCGAGCGUUGUCCGGAAUUACUGGGCGUAAAGAGCUCGUAGGUGGUUUGUCGCGUUGUCCGUGAAAACUCACAACUCAAUUGUGGGCGUGCGGGCGAUACGGGCAGACUGGAGUACUGCAGGGGAGACUGGAAUUCCUGGUGUAGCGGUGGAAUGCGCAGAUAUCAGGAGGAACACCGGUGGCGAGGGCGGCCUGCUGGGCAGUUGCUGACACUGAGGCGCGACAGCGUGGGGAGCAAACAGG
Molecule: ribosomal RNA, 253 nt
Filed under: uncultured bacterium
Lineage: Bacteria
Description: partial 16S ribosomal RNA
Rfam family: Bacterial small subunit ribosomal RNA
Source: RNAcentral